AUUGAACGCUGGCGGCAGGCUUAACACAUGCAAGUCGAACGGUAACAUAAAGAAGCUUGCUUCUUUGAUGACGAGUGGCGGACGGGUGAGUAAUGCUUGGGAAUCUAGCUUAUGGAGGGGAUAACUACGGGAAACUGUAGCUAAUACCGCGUAAUAUCGAAAGAUUAAAGUGUGGGACCUUCGGGCCACAUGCCAUAGGAUGAGCCCAAGUGGGAUUAGGUAGUUGGUGAGGUAAAGGCUCACCAAGCCGACGAUCUCUAGCUGGUCUGAGAGGAUGACCAGCCACACUGGGACUGAGACACGGCCCAGACUCCUACGGGAGGCAGCAGUGGGGAAUAUUGCGCAAUGGGGGCAACCCUGACGCAGCCAUGCCGCGUGAAUGAAGAAGGCCUUCGGGUUGUAAAGUUCUUUUUCGGUAGCGAGGAAGGCAUUUAGUUUAAUAGACUAGGUGAUUGACGUUAACUACAGAAGAAGCACCGGCUAACUCCGUGCCAGCAGCC
This 500-nucleotide ribosomal RNA is filed under the name uncultured bacterium. RNAcentral describes it as "bacterial SSU rRNA". It matches the Rfam family "Bacterial small subunit ribosomal RNA", at positions 30 to 516 of the family's 1533-position model. The record is from RNAcentral.